ACUCCUACGGGAGGCAGCAGUGGGGAAUAUUGCACAAUGGGGGAAACCCUGAUGCAGCCAUGCCGCGUGUGUGAAGAAGGCCUUCGGGUUGUAAAGCACUUUCAGUUGUGAGGAAAGGUUGGUAGUUAAUACCUGCCAGCUGUGACGUUAACAACAGAAGAAGCACCGGCUAACUCCGUGCCAGCAGCCGCGGUAAUACGGAGGGUGCGAGCGUUAAUCGGAAUUACUGGGCGUAAAGCGCACGCAGGCGGCUUGUUAAGCUAGAGGUGAAAGCCCUGCGCUCAACGUGGGAACUGCCUUUAGAACUGGCAGGCUAGAGUCUUGGAGAGGGGAGUGGAAUUCCAGGUGUAGCGGUGAAAUGCGUAGAUAUCUGGAGGAACAUCAGUGGCGAAGGCGGCUCCCUGGACAGAUACUGACACUCAGAUGCGAAAGCGUGGGGAGCAAACAGGAUUAGAUACCCUGGUAGGAUAG
Molecule: ribosomal RNA, 471 nt
Filed under: uncultured bacterium
Lineage: Bacteria
Description: bacterial SSU rRNA
Rfam family: Bacterial small subunit ribosomal RNA
Source: RNAcentral